Molecule: ribosomal RNA, 174 nt
Filed under: uncultured bacterium
Lineage: Bacteria
Description: partial 16S ribosomal RNA
Rfam family: Bacterial small subunit ribosomal RNA
Source: RNAcentral
UGGAAUUGCUAGUAAUCGUGGAUCAGCAUGCCACGGUGAAUACGUUCCCGGGUCUUGUACACACCGCCCGUCACACCAUGGGAGUCGGUAACACCCGAAGUCAGUAGUCUAACCGCAAGGAGGACGCUGCCGAAGGUGGGAUUGACGACUGGGGUGAAGUCGUAACAAGGUAAC